Molecule: ribosomal RNA, 845 nt
Filed under: Aerococcus sp. C91-PCA-T3P21
Lineage: Bacteria; Bacillati; Bacillota; Bacilli; Lactobacillales; Aerococcaceae
Description: bacterial SSU rRNA
Rfam family: Bacterial small subunit ribosomal RNA
Source: RNAcentral
CUAAUAGAUGCAGUCGAGCGAACAGGAUGAAGUGCUUGCACUUCUGACGUUAGCGGCGAACGGGUGAGUAACACGUAAGGAAUCUACCUAUAAGCGGGGGAUAACAUUCGGAAACGGGUGCUAAUACCGCAUAAUAUCUUCUUCCGCAUGGAAGAAGAUUGAAAGACGGCUCUGCUGUCACUUAUAGAUGACCUUGCGGUGCAUUAGUUAGUUGGUGGGGUAACGGCCUACCAAGACGAUGAUGCAUAGCCGACCUGAGAGGGUGAUCGGCCACAUUGGGACUGAGACACGGCCCAAACUCCUACGGGAGGCAGCAGUAGGGAAUCUUCCGCAAUGGGCGAAAGCCUGACGGAGCAAUGCCGCGUGAGUGAAGAAGGCCUUCGGGUCGUAAAACUCUGUUAUAAGAGAAGAACAAAUUGUAGAGUAACUGCUACAGUCUUGACGGUAUCUUAUCAGAAAGCCACGGCUAACUACGUGCCAGCAGCCGCGGUAAUACGUAGGUGGCAAGCGUUGUCCGGAUUUAUUGGGCGUAAAGGGAGCGCAGGUGGUUUCUUAAGUCUGAUGUGAAAGCCCACGGCUUAACCGUGGAGGGUCAUUGGAAACUGGGAAACUUGAGUACAGAAGAGGAAUGUGGAACUCCAUGUGUAGCGGUGGAAUGCGUAGAUAUAUGGAAGAACACCAGUGGCGAAGGCGACAUUCUGGUCUGUUACUGACACUGAGGCUCGAAAGCGUGGGGAGCAAACAGGAUUAGAUACCCUGGUAGUCCACGCCGUAAACGAUGAGUGCUAGGUGUUGGAGGGUUUCCGCCCUUCAGUGCCGCAGUUAACGCAUUAAGCACUCCGCCU